This is a non-coding RNA of Cicer arietinum (chickpea), 105 nucleotides long. The record is from Rfam. Lineage: Eukaryota; Viridiplantae; Streptophyta; Magnoliopsida; Fabales; Fabaceae.
CAUUUUCAUUACAAAUGUGACACUAAAAUUUGAAACAAUACAAAGAAGAUUAGCAUGGGUAAUGCACAAGGAUGACACUCACAAAUCGAGAAAAUGUUUGUUUUU